AAGGAACACGGUGCGAAUCCGUGGCUGUCCCGCAACUGUGAGGGGGAGCCGCCCCGAGACGACGCCACUGCCGCGACACGGUGGGAAGGCGGGGGCCGGUGCCCGAACCCGAGCCAGGAGACUU
This 124-nucleotide non-coding RNA is filed under the name Marinactinospora thermotolerans. The record is from RNAcentral. Lineage: Bacteria; Bacillati; Actinomycetota; Actinomycetes; Streptosporangiales; Nocardiopsidaceae. RNAcentral also lists the same sequence under 1 other name.